AUACGUAGGGGGCGAGCGUUGUCCGGAAUGAUUGGGCGUAAAGGGCGCGUAGGCGGCCCGGUAAGUCUGGAGUGAAAGUCCUGUGUUUAAGAUGGGAAUUGCUUUGGAUACUGUCGGGCUUGAGUGCAGUAGAGGUAGGUGGAAUUCCCAGUGUAGCGGUGAAAUGCGUAGAGAUUGGGAGGAACACCAGUGGCGAAGGCGACUUACUGGACUGUAACUGACGCUGAGGCGCGAAAGUGUGGGGAGCAAACAGGAUUAGAUACCCUGGUAGUCCACACUGUAAACGAUGAAUGCUAGGUGUAGGGGGUAUCGACCCCUUCUGUGCCGCAGUCAACACAAUAAGCAUUCCGCCUGGGGAGUACGGCCGCAAGGUUGAAACUCAAAUGAAUUGGCGGGG
Molecule: ribosomal RNA, 397 nt
Filed under: uncultured bacterium
Lineage: Bacteria
Description: partial 16S ribosomal RNA
Rfam family: Bacterial small subunit ribosomal RNA
Source: RNAcentral